This 468-nucleotide ribosomal RNA is filed under the name uncultured bacterium. RNAcentral's name for it is "partial 16S ribosomal RNA". It matches the Rfam family "Bacterial small subunit ribosomal RNA", at positions 28 to 507 of the family's 1533-position model. The record is from RNAcentral.
GACGAACGCUGGCGGCGUGCUUAACACAUGCAAGUCGAACGGAAAGGCCCUGCUUUUGUGGGGUGCUCGAGUGGCGAACGGGUGAGUAACACGUGAGUAACCUGCCCUUGACUUUGGGAUAACUUCAGGAAACUGGGGCUAAUACCGGAUAGGAGCUCCUGCUGCAUGGUGGGGGUUGGAAAGUUUCGGCGGUUGGGGAUGGACUCGCGGCUUAUCAGCUUGUUGGUGGGGUAGUGGCUUACCAAGGCUUUGACGGGUAGCCGGCCUGAGAGGGUGACCGGCCACAUUGGGACUGAGAUACGGCCCAGACUCCUACGGGAGGCAGCAGUGGGGAAUAUUGCACAAUGGGCUGAAGCCUGAUGCAGCCACGCCGCGUGCGGGAUGACGGCCUUCGGGUUGUAAACCGCUUUCGCCUGUGACGAAGCGUGAGUGACGGUAAUGGGUAAAGAAGCACCGGCUAACUACGUG